AGGGCUGAGCCAGGGCGGGCUGAGGCACAGGGGCCGGGCCCCUGGCCCCCACCCUAGCCCUCCUGGAUGGGGCCACAGCUGGCCAGCAGGCCUCCAGAUGUUCCCCCAGACCCCCCAAGCUCCCCUCCUCACCCUCUGCUUCUAUAACUCUGAGGCUUUGGCUUCACCCCUUCACCCCCCUCCGCCAAAACUUACAUUUCAAACUCUGGCCCUUUAAGGCUACUGUCUGGGCUUCUGUCAGAACAUCCGUGUGGCAAUAUAGUGACUUAUGGGUCCCUCUGGGUUCUAGCCGCGCCCCCCAUUCCUGAAGCAUACACACACUGGGAUCAUGGAGUUGGCAGGAAGGGAGCAAAUACACCUUCACCGCCACUGUCCUUGCUCUUGGCCUCCCGCCAGGGGCACCAUUGACUUUUCUGGGGCAGGGAUCCAGCUGUCCAGGCCCAGCAUCAUCUGCCUUUCCGGGGGGAUGGCUGGCCCAGAGAGCAGCCCAAUUAUCUGUGGGAAGGGAGGCCUGAGGUGCCCCUGGGAAGGCGUCCCCUGAUGAUUGUAAAUGUCGGGUGAUGAUUCCAGGUUUUUAGUUGCAAAGUGGGAUGACCAUAUUGAGGACAAAGGUUUACAGACCUACCUUCCUAAAUGCGGGCGUGUGGUGAACACAGCAGCAAGGGGCGAGGCUCCCAGGGCUUCCGGAAGGCUGAGGGACGGGCACAGCCCCUUCCGUGCAAGGCUGGAGGAAACAGUCCCCGCCUUCCCUGAGUCAGUGCGAUUAGCAGGUGCAAAGUCCACGGACCCUUCCCUCCUCUGCCCUGGCAGUCAGGCAGCCUCUGAGAGUGACUGAGGGCUAGGCCCCUCGGGAUGUCCUCCCCUCUUGCUGACCCAGCGCCUCGUUCUGCAUCUGCAAAAAGGGCCCGUGAGAGCUCCCGCCUCUGGGGAAUUGCACCAGGGGUUGGACCCGCACGCACACCCAUCUCGUUCUCACCCCGCAGGCAGGAAACCGUGCCCAGCAUCUUGCUGGCCUCGGCCAAGGGAGGGCGAGCGCCAGCACAAGGACAGCCAGGGCGAGGUCUCCACAGGCGAACCAGCCGGUCCUUCCCCUGGAGCCGCAGAUCGCCUUCGCCCCCGGCCUUCUGCCUCCCAGGCCACAACGCGGGGGCACAGGCCCUACACCGCUGCCCGCACCUUACUGACACGGCACCCGUUUUUCUGCAUCUGCGAGACUGUCCCCUCUAGGCCGUCACAUUCAGAACCAGCAGGCAGCUGCCAAACAGGGGCUGUUUCUGAUGGUUCGUAUUUUGUUUUGUUGUGCUGUAAUUGUCUUUUUUUUUUUUUUUUUUUUGGUCUUACUUGAUACAGUGAAGUGCACAUUUCAAAGUGUUUUGACAAAUGUCUCCACUGAGUGUCCGCUGCCCCUUAAAGAUCAGGGCUGAGGUUCUCAGACGCUCACAUGCCGGGAAAGCGUCCUCGCUGCCCCACGGCUCCUGGCUCGGUGGGUCUGGGCGGGGAGAGAACGGACAUGUUGGACAUGUCGAGAGUUCCUGGGACCUGUUGCUACUAACCUGCCCACACUCCUAAGCAUCUGGGGCGAGUAUUUCUAUCGCACCAGAAAGCUCCCCUGUGGCCCUUCUGGUCAGCUCCAGCCUCCCCCAGAGGCAGCCCGCCUGUCCGUGAACUUCACACGCUGGAAUCCUUGGCAUGCGUCCUUCGGUGUCUGGCUCCUUUCAGGCAGCACAGUGCUCCUGAGGGUUGUGCAGGGGCACUGCUGGGGUCACUAGCCCUUCCUGUCGUCGCAGGGUAGCAUUUCCCUGCAUGGGGCCACCAGCCUGUCCUCUUCUCCUGCUGAUGGAUGUUGGGUUGUUUCCAGUUUGGGGCUGGAAUAAAACUUCUAUGAUUAUCUGUGUGCA
Long non-coding RNA from Neofelis nebulosa (Clouded leopard), 1898 nucleotides. RefSeq lists it as uncharacterized. NCBI's taxonomy places the organism in Eukaryota, Metazoa, Chordata, Mammalia, Carnivora, Felidae. The transcript has 2 exons. The record is from RefSeq and is a predicted model, not a curated record.